This 419-nucleotide ribosomal RNA is filed under the name uncultured bacterium. RNAcentral describes it as "bacterial SSU rRNA". It matches the Rfam family "Bacterial small subunit ribosomal RNA", at positions 917 to 1333 of the family's 1533-position model. The record is from RNAcentral.
GGGCCCGCACAAGCAGUGGAGCAUGUGGUUUAAUUCGAAGAUACGCGCAGAACCUUACCAACACUUGACAUGUUCGUCGCAACUCUAAGAGAUUAGAGUUUUCGGUUCGGCCGGACGAAACACAGGUGCUGCAUGGCUGUCGUCAGCUCGUGUCGUGAGAUGUUGGGUUAAGUCCCGCAACGAGCGCAACCCUCACUUUUAGUUGCCAUCAUUAAGUUGGGCACUCUGAAAGAACUGCCAGUGAUAAGCUGGAGGAAGGUGGGGAUGACGUCAAGUCCUCAUGGCCCUUACGUGUUGGGCUACACACGUGCUACAAUGGUAUCUACAACAGGAAGCAAAACGGCGACGUUAAGCAAAAUCCUCAAAAAAUACCUCAGUUCGGAUUGCACUCUGCAACUCGAGUGCAUGAAGCUGGAAUU